GGGACAAAGUGACAGGUGGUGCAUGGUUGUCGUCAGCUCGUGUCGUGAGAUGUUGGGUUAAGUCCCGCAACGAGCGCAACCCUUAAGCUUAGUUGCCAGCAUUAAGUUGGGCACUCUAAGUUGACUGCCGGUGACAAACCGGAGGAAGGUGGGGAUGACGUCAAAUCAUCAUGCCCCUUAUGAUUUGGGCUACACACGUGCUACAAUGGACAAUACAAAGGGCAGCUAAACCGCGAGGUCAUGCAAAUCCCAUAAAGUUGUUCUCAGUUCGGAUUGUAGUCUGCAACUCGACUACAUGAAGCUGGAAUCGCUAGUAAUCGUAGAUCAGCAUGCUACGGUGAAUACGUUCCCGGGUCUUGUACACACCGCCCGUCACACCACGAGAGUCUGUAACACCCGAAGCCGGUGGAGUAACCAUUUAUGGAGCUAGCCGUCGAAGGUGGGACAAAUGAUUGGGGUGAAGUCGUAACAAGGUAGCCGUAUCGGAAGGUGCGGCUGGAUCACCUC
This 507-nucleotide ribosomal RNA is filed under the name uncultured bacterium. RNAcentral's name for it is "bacterial SSU rRNA". It matches the Rfam family "Bacterial small subunit ribosomal RNA", at positions 1023 to 1529 of the family's 1533-position model. The record is from RNAcentral.